This is a long non-coding RNA of Panonychus citri (citrus red mite), 2422 nucleotides long. RefSeq lists it as uncharacterized. The transcript is spliced from 3 exons. Lineage: Eukaryota; Metazoa; Arthropoda; Arachnida; Trombidiformes; Tetranychidae. The record is from RefSeq and is a predicted model, not a curated record.
AUUGUAUGCAUUGAGUAAGCCUCUUAGCAUUGAUUAUAUAGCUUCAAUAUUACAUAAUUUCCCUUUAGUUUCCUACUCCCUCUCUCUCUCUCUCUCACUUGAUAUUAUAAUGUAAUAUUAAGGUUUUAUUAUCAUUUCUAACUCAUCUUUCUUUUCAUCAUUUUCCUCAUCAGGUUAUUAUUUUUUUUCGGUGACACAAAAAGGAACCAGGAAGAGGAUAAAGACUACAUGAUAUUAAUACCUGAAAACAUAUGGAAGUGAAAUUAUCUUGUUGCUUGUUGUUUUCGUUAAUUUAUCAAGUUCAAGUUUACCUUUUUUCUUUUCUUUCUUUGUGUGUAACAUUCAGAGGAUUGAAUUGCUUAUAACAUGGUAAAGAGAAUAGAGGAAAGUGGUUAAUAAGAAUAUGGUAAAGUUUUUUUUUCUCUUAUAGUUUGGUAAGUUCUCUUGUAGUAAUUAUGAGAAAAGACAAUAGAAGAUUUGGAAACCUGAUAUUGUUUCAAAUGGAACUAUUAAUACCAUGAAACACUCUGGAUGAUUAUAUUGAUUAUCAAAUGUAUCUUUUUCUUUCAUCUAUUGACAUAAUUUAGAGACAACUAAUGGAUCCACAAUUGAGCUUCUCAAUCAACGAUAUUCACUAAGGUUAACCUAUAUCUCAAUUUACUUCAUUGAAUUUAACAGAACUCUGGUAACUGAGUCAUCAUGAUCAUGAUCAUCAAUUAUACUCAUCAUCAGAAUCACUUGUAUGUUAUUAGUUAGAAUACUUAUGAAUUUAGUUGAUUGAAGGUUUUUUUCCUCUCUCUCUUUCCAUGAGUUGACCCAAGGUGAUUAAUAAUCAAUUCCCUGAUAUUAGUAUCUAAUAGUAGAAAUUUAAGUUAAGUUUCCAUUAAUAAAUUUCGAUUCGACUUUUCCUUUUAUCUUUAAUGAAUGAUGAGCUUUCAACAUCAUCAACGUAAAUACUGUUGAUAUGCUAUCAGAAUUUACGGAAAAAUUAUUAAUCAAGAACAAUUUGUUUGCAGAACGAAAUUUAAUUGAUCCAAUUACGGUCCUUUUCAUAUGAUUAUUAUCUUUUCAUUUAAAGAGAUGAUUAAAGAUUAUAAGCUAUGAAAAUUGUUAUAAAAAUCUACCUGUUGACAUGGAAAACACAAUCAACAAGUUGGAAAUAUUGUUCAGAAUCGUGAAGUCUUGACAAAAAUACGAAACCAUGGAUUCAGUAAUACUUGUAAUCAUAAUGAUCAAUAAUAUGAUUAAGAGUAAAUUAGCCAUUGUAUGAAUGAGGGAAUAAGAUGAUCAUUGUGAAGAUGAGUGAGAGAAAAAUGGAAAAUCUGAAAAUUCUGUUGAAACCGACCAUGAAAAUCUCAUAGGAGGUUAGACAAAAUGUCGACAAUUGUUCAAUGUAAAAGAAACAGAAUGACAAUAAGAUGAUUUUUCUCUCUCCCUACCUUCUCAUUUCGCUUUUAUCAUUUUCCUUCUCAUCUUCUCAUCUUCUCAUCUCUUCAUCCUUCUCAUGAUCUUCAUCUUCCCAUUUUUCUACAUCAUUCCCUCCACGUUCAUUGUUAUAAGUUAAGCAGCAGGAAAAACAGGGAGACUUGUUAACUAGGAAUUAAAUCAGUUCUCCAGGAAAACCUAAGCCACCAUAUAGAAUGGAACAAUUUUUUUCUUCUCUCUCUCUCUCAGUUGUUUUUUUUUGGACAAAGAGACAAUCCUUUUGGUGUUUUAUGGUGCAAAGGAACCAAGAACAACGAGGAGAUUGAAGAUUUUCAUGGAAGACAAAGGAAAGAAAAACGAGCAAAAAUGAUGAACAAUGUUGAUGAUUAUGAAGAUAAUCCAUUCAUUCAUAUUAAAGUUACUCAUCUUGUUGUUGAAAAUGAAUGAACAACUCAGGGGGAUUCACAUGAUAAAAGCUAAUGAAUUUUAUUCCUCUUUCCUCUGAAUUUCAUUCAACAAAGAGUUUGACAAACUACUGUAUCGAUUUAAACCAAAUGAACCUGUGGAUAGACAGUAAUCAUAACAAGGAUAAGCUCCUUAAGUAAAUCUGAUUUUAAUUAUUAGCUAAUUAAUAUCGCUUAAUAUCAAUUGUCUUGUCAUCAUCAUCAUGUAAUCAGUGUUAAAAUUACACAUUGACAUUGAUAAAAGAUAUUAAUUAUUAUCAUUUGAUUGCUAUUGUGUUAACAUUAAUCAGAUUCUAACAUGAAACGAUAAUAUCACGAUAAUACCUAAAGAUUUACUCCUGAGGAACCAUUAAAACGUGAAUGAUUGGUUAUCUAUCCUUUUUUUAUGGUGUUAAACAUAGUGUUUAACAACAUUGGCUUUUUAUUGAAUCCAAAGUCGAGAUUGAAGGAAAAUCAUUAAUAUCAACAAAUAUCACCAAUAUUAUGGAACGAUAAUAAUAUUAAAUGGGUUUUCACUCCCUUUCCCAUGAUAA